UACGGAGGGUGCAAGCGUUAUCCGGAUUCACUGGGUUUAAAGGGUGCGUAGGUGGAUUGGUAAGUCCGUGGUGAAAUCCCCGAGCUUAACUUGGGAACUGCCAUGGAUACUAUUAAUCUUGAAUGUCGUGGAGAUGGGCGGAAUAUGUCAUGUAGCGGUGAAAUGCUUAGAUAUGACAUAGAACACCAAUUGCGAAGGCAGCUCGUUACGCGAAUAUUGACACUGAUGCACGAAAGCGUGGGGAUCAAACAGG
RNAcentral lists this ribosomal RNA (253 nucleotides) under uncultured bacterium. Its description in RNAcentral is "partial 16S ribosomal RNA". It matches the Rfam family "Bacterial small subunit ribosomal RNA", at positions 524 to 776 of the family's 1533-position model. The record is from RNAcentral.